This 430-nucleotide ribosomal RNA is filed under the name uncultured Alphaproteobacteria bacterium. RNAcentral's name for it is "bacterial SSU rRNA". It matches the Rfam family "Bacterial small subunit ribosomal RNA", at positions 29 to 504 of the family's 1533-position model. The record is from RNAcentral. Lineage: Bacteria; Pseudomonadati; Pseudomonadota; Alphaproteobacteria.
AACGAACGCUGGCGGCAGGCUUAACACAUGCAAGUCGAACGGUCUCUUCGGAGGCAGUGGCAGACGGGUGAGUAACGCGUGGGAAUCUACCUAGUUCUACGGAACAACAGUUGGAAACGACUGCUAAUACCGUAUACGCCCUACGGGGGAAAGAUUUAUCGGAAUUAGAUGAGCCCGCGUAAGAUUAGCUAGUUGGUGGGGUAAUGGCCUACCAAGGCGACGAUCUUUAGCUGGUCUGAGAGGAUGAUCAGCCACACUGGGACUGAGACACGGCCCAGACUCCUACGGGAGGCAGCAGUGGGGAAUAUUGGACAAUGGGCGCAAGCCUGAUCCAGCCAUGCCGCGUGAGUGAUGAAGGCCUUAGGGUUGUAAAGCUCUUUCAGUAGGGAAGAUAAUGACGGUACCUACAGAAGAAGCCCCGGCUAACUUC